This 477-nucleotide ribosomal RNA is filed under the name uncultured bacterium. RNAcentral's name for it is "partial 16S ribosomal RNA". It matches the Rfam family "Bacterial small subunit ribosomal RNA", at positions 28 to 507 of the family's 1533-position model. The record is from RNAcentral.
GAUGAACGCUGGCGGCGUGCCUAAUACAUGCAAGUCGAGCGAACGGACGAGAAGCUUGCUUCUUUGACGUUAGCGGCGGACGGGUGUGUAACACGUGGAUAACCUACCUAUAAGACUGGGAUAACUUCGGGAAACCGGAGCUAAUACCGGAGGAUAUUUUGAACCGCAUGGUUCAAAAGUGAAAGACGGUCUUGCUGGCAGUUGUAGAUGGAUCUGCGCUGUAUUAGCUAGUUGGUGAGGUAACGGCUUACCAAGGCAAUGAUGGAUAGCCGACAUGGGAGCGUGAACGCGGUCAAGGCGCCUGCGAGAGGCAGCAGUAGGGAAUCGUACGCAGUGGGCGGGAGCCUGGCGGAGUGGCGCGGAGCGAGUGAUAGAGGUGUUCGGAUCGUAAAACUGUGUUAUGAGGGAAGAACAGAUGUGUAAUGUGAUGUGCAGAGCUUGACGGUACCGGAUAAGGAAGCAACGGCUAACUACGUG